RNAcentral lists this ribosomal RNA (160 nucleotides) under uncultured bacterium. RNAcentral's name for it is "partial 16S ribosomal RNA". It matches the Rfam family "Bacterial small subunit ribosomal RNA", at positions 355 to 507 of the family's 1533-position model. The record is from RNAcentral.
UGGGGAAUAUUGCGCAAUGGGCGAAAGCUUGACGCAGCAACGCCGCGUGAGUGAUGAAGGCCUUCGGGUCGAAAGCUCUGUCGGGAGGAACGAAUGCUCCUGAGGUUAACAGCCUCGGGAGGUGACGGUACCUUCAAAGGAAGCCCCGGCUAACUCUGUG